GACGAACGCUGGCGGCGUGCUUAACACAUGCAAGUCGAACGGAAAGGCCCUGCUUUUGUGGGGUGCUCGAGUGGCGAACGGGUGAGUAACACGUGAGUAACCUGCCCUUGACUUUGGGAUAACUUCAGGAAACUGGGGCUAAUACCGGAUAGGAGCUCCUGCUGCAUGGUGGGGGUUGGAAAGUUUCGGCGGUUGGGGAUGGACUCGCGGCUUAUCAGCUUGUUGGUGGGGUAGUGGCUUACCAAGGCUUUGACGGGUAGCCGGCCUGGGAGGGUGACCGGCCACAUUGGGACUGAGAUACAGCCCAGACUCCUACGGGAGGCAGCAGUGGGGAAUAUUGCACAAUGGGCGGAAGCCUGAUGCAGCAACGCCGCGUGCGGGAUGACGGCCUUCGGGUUGUAAACCGCUUUCGCCUGUGACGAAGCGUGAGUGACGGUAAUGGGUAAAGAAGCACCGGCUAACUACGUG
RNAcentral lists this ribosomal RNA (468 nucleotides) under uncultured bacterium. RNAcentral describes it as "partial 16S ribosomal RNA". It matches the Rfam family "Bacterial small subunit ribosomal RNA", at positions 28 to 507 of the family's 1533-position model. The record is from RNAcentral.